CGGCGAGGUGCACGCGGGCCGCAGGACGGGGCUGGUUUGGGUGGGCGGCCAGUGCCCACCGCCGCGGGCCGGGCCUUGGCACCGCAGCGCCAGGCGCUCCGCGGGCGCGGGCGGGCGGGCCGGCCGGGCGCUUUCCUGGGACCCGGGGCUCGGGGAGGACCGUGCCCAAAGCGUGGCCACGCGGGCUGGGCCGGCAGACGGCGCGCGCUUUCAGAAGUCGGACGGCUGCAGCAGGGGGCGCCAGCGCCCCGACGCCGGGCCUAGCCCCGCCCACGCCGCCCCGGGGCCCCGCCCCUUCCUUCCUUCCUGCCGCGGCCCUUCUCCGGCCCCGCCCCCCUGCGCAGAGUCGGCGCUCGCGGCCACUCGGGGUCCCCGCGGAGGAGGCACAGAAUCUCCCCAGUGCGAUUCCAGCACUUCUCAGCAGGAAGGGUUCCCAGGCCAGAAACAAGGUCCUGGUUUUGGCUGUGGUCAUGUCCACUCUUCAGAGCAAACGGAGAGCAAAUUCAGAGGCGGAUCGCCAAAGGUAAUUCCUCGCUCUGACACUGAGUACAAAUGAGGUGGUUUUUAAAGUGAAAUGGUUUUUUCCUAGUGAAAAUAACAUGUAUAAUCUUUAGGUUGGAUUCAGUGUAAAUGAAGGAGCUAGUGUUUGGUGGGGACAUCUGAGUGACGUUCUGCUCCUUGUUGCUUCUGGAAUUGUGGGCAAAGCUAGUGUCCCCAGCACCAACGCUGCUUACAGCAUUCGUGUGACAGAUGGAACCGGACGGCCUCUGCAUGGCCUCUCUCACUGGGCUCUGACUCUGUUUCAGCUUUAACUUUUUAUGUUCUUGGAAAACAGUAAAGCAAGAGAGUGAGAUGGAGUGAGGCUGUGAGACGGCAGCGGACAGUGGCUAGGCUGGCGUGGAGCCCUGGCACAGGAGAGGAGAGCUCGAACACUAUGCCUGAGGAACUGCGAUGGGGACGGGGUUGCUUGCGGAAGGCUGGGGAGGACUUGUGCCCACUUCAGCUGGAGCCGAGCUGGCGCCUGAGAAGUGUUGGGGUUCAGGCUCCUCCUGAGCAUAGCGCUCUCUCUAUAGGGUGGGGUGGGCCAAUUGCUGGCAGAGCUGCGAUUUAUCAGGCCUGGUGACUGGGGUGACAAAAUAAUGGAACUGUUUUUCUUCCAAUUGACUAAUGAGAAUAUUGAUUAGGAUUUGAAUUGGCUGAAUCUUAUAGAACUUGAAAAUAAUAGAAGGCAAAUAGUGGAUUGUUUCUCACCACAAGGGAAUCUUUCGGUGGGCAGUGGAGCGCCAGCUGGGGACUCUGUAGUGUCAGGGAAUGAGGCUCUAUCAACCCUGGCAUGUGGCUUCCACAAGGCUGCUUGAAUUCAGCCAUCACGUCAGCAUUCCAGCCAGCAGGGAAAAGAGAGGAACAAACCAGGACUUAACUCCUCCUUCUUCAUUAGUGAUACAUUCCAGAAAUUGAACUUGAUGUUUCUGUUUUCAUCUCACUGGUUAACAGUUAGCUACAUGGUCACCUGGGUGAAACAAAGAUUGGAAAAUGUAGCUUUUGAUCAUAAUAGCUAUGUGUCUAGCUAACCAAUUAUGGUUAUUUGUGUUGUUUGAUUUACUAAGAGGGAGGUAACAGAUAUGAGGUAAUACUUUCCAGAAAAAUUGAGUAUGGUUUGUAGCAUGUAAUGUUUGUAUUCCUUGUGGGGAAUUGGUACCCGGACUAACAUAUCCUAAUUCCCUUUUCCAUACUCUUCCUUUCUCCUCCCUUCUUCCCUCUGUUUCUCAAUCCCUUUCCCUUUUGAGAGAGAUCUAUCUCCCUACCUCCUGUUAUCUCUCUUUUAUUUUGUUCUUUACUUAUAUGUGGGUUUCUCAUUAAGAAAACCAUGUGAUAUUUAAGUCUGACUUACUUAGUAUUAUGGUCUUCUUUUUCUACAAAUGACUCAGAUUUAUCUUUAAGGCAGAAUAGUGCUCCGUUGUAUAUAAAUAUCACAUUUGCUUUAUCCAUUCAUCUGCUGAGGUACGUGUGG
Molecule: long non-coding RNA, 2011 nt
Filed under: Cavia porcellus (domestic guinea pig)
Lineage: Eukaryota; Metazoa; Chordata; Mammalia; Rodentia; Caviidae
Description: lncRNA (ENSCPOG00000032988.1)
Source: RNAcentral